CAGGCGGCUGCUUACCAUGCAAGUCGCACGAGAACGCUUCAGCUUGCUGGAGCUAGUAAAGUGGCGCACGGGUGAGUAACGCGUGGGUAAUCUACCUCCGAAUUGGGGAUAACGUUGCGAAAGCGACGCUAAUACCGGAUAAUAUCUUCUUGACUUCGGUCUUGGGGAUCAAAGGUGGCCUCUACAUGUAAGCUACUGUUUGGAGAUGAGCCCGCGUCCCAUUAGCUUGUUGGCGGGGUAACGGCCCACCAAGGCUUCGAUGGGUAGCUGGUCUGAGAGGAUGAUCAGCCACACUGGAACUGGAACACGGUCCAGACUCCUACGGGAGGCAGCAGUGAGGAAUUUUGCGCAAUGGGGGAAACCCUGACGCAGCAACGCCGCGUGAGUGAUGAAGGCUUUCGGGUCGUAAAGCUCUGUCAAGUGGGAAGAACCGCCGAGGGGUUAACAUCCUCUUGGUCUGACGGUACCACUGAAGGAAGCACCGGCUAACUCCGUGCCAGCAGCCGCGGUAAUACGGGGGGUGCAAGCGUUAUUCGGAUUUACUGGGCGUAAAGCGCGCGUAGGCGGCCGUUUAAGUCAGAUGUGAAAGCCCGGGGCUCAACCCCGGAAGUGCAUUUGAUACUAUUCGGCUUGAGUAUGGGAGAGGGAAGUGGAAUUCCUGGUGUAGAGGUGAAAUUCGUAGAUAUCAGGAGGAACACCGGUGGCGAAGGCGACUUCCUGGACCAAUACUGACGCUGAGGCGCGAAAGGCGUGGGGAGCAAACAGGAUUAGAUACCCUGGUAGUCCACGCAGUAAACGGUGAUCACUAAGUGUAGCGGGU
This 820-nucleotide ribosomal RNA is filed under the name uncultured bacterium. Its description in RNAcentral is "bacterial SSU rRNA". It matches the Rfam family "Bacterial small subunit ribosomal RNA", at positions 36 to 830 of the family's 1533-position model. The record is from RNAcentral. RNAcentral also lists the same sequence under 1 other name.